Molecule: ribosomal RNA, 251 nt
Filed under: uncultured prokaryote
Description: partial 16S rRNA
Rfam family: Bacterial small subunit ribosomal RNA
Source: RNAcentral
ACGUAGGGGGCAAGCGUUGUCCGGAAUUAUUGGGCGUAAAGAGCGCGUAGGCGGCUUGCCAAGUCCGACGUGAAACCCCGGGGCUCAACUCCGGAAGUGCAUCGGAAACCGCAUUGCUAGAGUCUGGGAGAGGGGAGUGGAAUUCCUGGUGUAGCGGUGAAAUGCGCAGAUAUCAGGAGGAACACCAGUAGCGAAGGCUGCCAACUGGAACAGUACUGACGCUGAGGCGCGAAAGUUAGGGGAGCGAACAG